Molecule: long non-coding RNA, 511 nt
Organism: Alligator mississippiensis (American alligator)
Lineage: Eukaryota; Metazoa; Chordata; Crocodylia; Alligatoridae
Exons: 3
Source: RefSeq, a predicted model, not a curated record
CCUUUAAGAAAAAAAAAACCAAGAAAAGUCCCGAAACACCACUCCUGCAGUGGCCUCGAGGCUUUGGCGGGCUUGUGCAGAGCCCCCAACAUGGCACAGGGCAGCGGGGCGCAAUGGGGGGCAGUGGGGAUCGCCCCCCGCUCGGCAGUAACUCCUCCAACACAAAAUAUCCAUUUUUCAUCCAGCUGUAAUUGGGGCCACGUUCUAGUAGGCACUUGACAAAUACAAGAAUUACACCAAAGAUGGACAUGACUCUGGGAUUUCAGUCAGACUGCAAGAGCAGCACGAGCUCUCAGUGCAUUGCCCUUUAAGCAGGACUUUCAGAUAUACCUUUAUGAACUCAAAGGUUUUAUAGUAUUUCAAGUGUCUGAAAAGACUUCUGGUGAAGGGGAAGCAGACAAAAAGAUCACAAGUAGGAACUAUUAUCCUUAUUCAAUACUGCUUCAUGGCAUGUACAGUCAGAGUCCAUUUAGCAGCUUUCUUUGGCAUUUGUGGCCUUUUUCUAGUCUAA